This 1255-nucleotide ribosomal RNA is filed under the name Salmonella enterica. Its description in RNAcentral is "partial 23S ribosomal RNA". It matches the Rfam family "Bacterial large subunit ribosomal RNA", at positions 1696 to 2925 of the family's 2925-position model. Lineage: Bacteria; Pseudomonadati; Pseudomonadota; Gammaproteobacteria; Enterobacterales; Enterobacteriaceae. The record is from RNAcentral.
GAACUCGGGUGAAGGAACUAGGCAAAAUGGUGCCGUAACUUCGGGAGAAGGCACGCUGACACGUAGGUGAAGUGAUUUACUCAUGGAGCUGAAGUCAGUCGAAGAUACCAGCUGGCUGCAACUGUUUAUUAAAAACACAGCACUGUGCAAACACGAAAGUGGACGUAUACGGUGUGACGCCUGCCCGGUGCCGGAAGGUUAAUUGAUGGGGUCAGCGCAAGCGAAGCUCCUGAUCGAAGCCCCGGUAAACGGCGGCCGUAACUAUAACGGUCCUAAGGUAGCGAAAUUCCUUGUCGGGUAAGUUCCGACCUGCACGAAUGGCGUAAUGAUGGCCAGGCUGUCUCCACCCGAGACUCAGUGAAAUUGAACUCGCUGUGAAGAUGCAGUGUACCCGCGGCAAGACGGAAAGACCCCGUGAACCUUUACUAUAGCUUGACACUGAACAUUGAGCCUUGAUGUGUAGGAUAGGUGGGAGGCUUUGAAGUGUGGACGCCAGUCUGCAUGGAGCCGACCUUGAAAUACCACCCUUUAAUGUUUGAUGUUCUAACGUGGACCCGUGAUCCGGGUUGCGGACAGUGUCUGGUGGGUAGUUUGACUGGGGCGGUCUCCUCCUAAAGAGUAACGGAGGAGCACGAAGGUUGGCUAAUCCUGGUCGGACAUCAGGAGGUUAGUGCAAUGGCAUAAGCCAGCUUGACUGCGAGCGUGACGGCGCGAGCAGGUGCGAAAGCAGGUCAUAGUGAUCCGGUGGUUCUGAAUGGAAGGGCCAUCGCUCAACGGAUAAAAGGUACUCCGGGGAUAACAGGCUGAUACCGCCCAAGAGUUCAUAUCGACGGCGGUGUUUGGCACCUCGAUGUCGGCUCAUCACAUCCUGGGGCUGAAGUAGGUCCCAAGGGUAUGGCUGUUCGCCAUUUAAAGUGGUACGCGAGCUGGGUUUAGAACGUCGUGAGACAGUUCGGUCCCUAUCUGCCGUGGGCGCUGGAGAACUGAGGGGGGCUGCUCCUAGUACGAGAGGACCGGAGUGGACGCAUCACUGGUGUUCGGGUUGUCAUGCCAAUGGCACUGCCCGGUAGCUAAAUGCGGAAGAGAUAAGUGCUGAAAGCAUCUAAGCACGAAACUUGCCCCGAGAUGAGUUCUCCCUGAGACUUUAGGUCUCCUGAAGGAACGUUGAAGACGACGACGUUGAUAGGCCGGGUGUGUAAGCGCAGCGAUGCGUUGAGCUAACCGGUACUAAUGAACCGUGAGGCUUAACCUUACA